UGAAGGAAGCGUCCGAUGCGGAUGCGGCGACGACGGCGACCUCUCCAGCUCGGUGCUCCUCAAUUUUUCGCCGCUGGAUCGGUGUUUCCAUCGUGGUUAGGAGAGAGAGACAGAAAUGUGUGGCCUGGAGAGAGAUGCGGAGAGGAUAAGGCGCAGCGGUUAAAAAGGGGACGUGCGAUUUUUUUAUCGGGGUGACACACUUUUCCUAAUAAACAGCUAGCUGUUUUGCAAUUAGCAAACAGCUACUUUUUCUGCCAUACGAUUGACUCACGAAUCUUAGCGCAACUCUGAUUUCGCUUCCCUCAUGUUUUCCCAUAGUGCCCUGGUGUCCUUUUUUUUUAAUUCUUUAUUCCUUUUCUGUCUGAUUCCCGUGAGGGCCUGACCGUUCUGUAUCAUUUCUCUCUUUCUUUUUUCUCUUCGGUCCUCCUGAGAGCAAGCGGAACCAUGGCGGAGAAAUUCGCACGUCCUGCUCGGGCGUCGGCGGGUGUGGGGCCGCCGCGUCUUGCUCGGCCGACGGCAGAGGAAGCAAUUGGUGUUGGGACACCUCGUCUCCCUAGGCUGUGGAUUGGACGGUGACUCCAAAUCUGCUGCUAGCGUCGAUGGGGAAAUUUCCAGCUCAUGUUCAUCUCCGUCCAUCGGGGAAGAGGUUUUCGUUUCGCGAGCGCAGAAGGCAUGUGCACCGGCGCAGAUAUGGGCUAGUGUUUUGUGUGCUCACUAGUAUAUCUGCAUCUCCGCGGUGGCAAUGCCGCGUGGGGCGCCGGCGUCGAUGGAGCCUUCUGAUAUGAAAGGCGGUGGAGGAGCUGCUCAACACAUACUUGGCGGUUUGGGCUAUGGUAACACCAUGAACUGAGCUAGUACUACAAGAGGAAGUUGAGCUUAACCAAGAGUGCAUCAAAGUUAGGUUCUAAUACAGGUGUGCUGCCCUAGAACGAAAAAAUCUUAGGAUCCUAAAGGUAGCUAUGAGAAUUCACAAUGAAUAGUGGAGCUACAAGAUGCACGUGCUGGGCUUUUGCGGAUCUGAGUCUUUUACUGUUUAUGGGCUUUCUUCUGUAAUGGACUUUUUUAAACUCAACAUGUUCUAAAAGCAGAAAUCCAUGAAACGCAAACACUAUAUAAUGGGCUUUUUUAAACUCAACAUGUUCUGAAAGCAGAAAUCCAUGAAACGCAAACACAUGCCCCGUACCUAAUGUGUCUGUUUUGCCAAACUAAAACAGAUAGUUUUUUUAUUAACUGAGCUCUACAGAUGUCAUCAUUUGAUUGGUCCUAAAAAAGUGUCUGUUUACGAAUUGGAAAACAGCUAGCUGUUGUUUAGACACCGUUAGACACGUGUCAGUCUCUGGCCGCGUGCUCACGUACCCAUGUGAUCAUCGGGCUUCAUCUGAUUUGUCAAUUGCCCAACUGUAAUUUGUUCACCCAACAUGCUAUUUAUCUUAUGGGAGAGACACCGCUAGUGAACUGUGGACCCCGGUCCAUUCUUUACAUCUGAAAUACAAUCUACUGCAAUUGUUCUUUACUGUUCUUCGCAAACAAACAUCAUCUUCCACACUAUACAUCUAAUCCUUUGUUACAGCAAGCCGGUGAGAUUGACAACCUCAUUGUCACGUUGGGGCAAAGUACUUUGAUUGUGUUGUGCAGGUUCCACGUUGGCGGCGGAAUCUCUGGUGUUGCGUCGCACUACACUUCGCCGCCAUCAACCUUCAACGUGCUUCUUGGCUCCUACUGGUUCGAUAAACCUUGGUUUCUUACUGAGGGAAAACUUGCUACUGUACGCAUCACACCUCCUCUUGGGGUUCCCAACGGACGUGUGUUAACUGCACGCAUCAGCCACCUAAACUAAGUUAACCCAUGUCGAGAGUCCGACCGAAUAUCUGAAAUGGACCCAGUUGUUUCCGACUCUGUGCUAGGUGGCAUCAGAGAUCACACAUGGGAGAUGACCCACUUUGCAGUGCACCAAAGACCUAUGUGUGCGUGCAAGAUAAAACAGACGAGGGUUACAAGGCACACAAGAACCAAAGGGAAACACCCCAAAUCUAGUUGCUGCUCUGGACGAGGUUGUAGAUUUCGACAGUGAUCGAGAGGGGGCAUUAUACCCCACAUAUGGUUAGAGGGCUCAGUUUCAGAACUGAUAGCAAGAACUUAGGCUUUAAAGGACACAAGUGAGCCAUCACAAUACAAGCAGCUGACCCACCAAUGCCUCUGCUGAGAGAGAGUAAAAGGUUGUUGACAUUUAAAGUAAACCAUGAUUCUCUCAAACAAAUUAUAUCCAUAAUUGGAGCAUAGACAACUUCCCAACAUUAUUUGAUGAAGAUAAUACAAGUCGAACAGACUAAGCAUGCACUAUGACUCUCAAAGCCAACACGAAACCCACACAACAUGUAAAUAGUUACGAGGUGAAUGCCAUUUGGGUUGUUAGGGUAAACAUGUGGAUAUGACACGUGACUCGAACAAAGCAUCAUGAGGCAAAACUGCAAAAACAAUAAGAAGCAGGGAAAGGUGCUCGCAUGUCAAAUCAGAAGUAGUAGCAAAGGCACAAUCCUCCAGAGUGGUGUAGUCAUACUCCUGCUCGUACUCCUCAGAGCAUGUGUGUACUCGAGAAGAAACAAACACAGCCAAGAAAGUAGACAAACAUAAACAUGAGAUAUGCGCAAUCAAGUAUGAUGCAUGGCAGAGGGUCCGUAGGAGCGUCGACGACAACCUACGACCUUCCCGUGCUCUGAAUCCUCGGCCGAGUGCUCCGCCCGCUGGUCUGCUUCUCGUUCUCUGCCUGCUGGACGACCAGAUACAAGCUGCAACGAGGCUGCGAAGCUCCCGGAUCUGUUGUCUAGGAUGUAUGUUGAGAAAAUGUUCAAGGAAAUGAUUAUUAGGCAUCAAAUUUAAGGGCAAUCCUGCGUGGCUGAUACACACAGUCGGAAACAUUCAGAUACUGCAAGGAAGCUUUGACUAAGAAGAGAGACGAGCCUAUGCAUCACAUAACAUCUUUUUUUAAACAAAGUACAAGAUAUUGACCCAUAGCUUUUCUCUGAUGUUUGUUGAACGUAAAAAGUUUGGCAUCUGAGAAAGUAAGCUCUCUAAUUUUAGGAACCAAAUAACUUCUUAUCUCUACCAUGGCACCAUGACGUUGUCUUUUCUUGCGGGGAACAAUUGUAGUUAUUUUUGUAAGGCGUGGUGAAUAAAUGAGGAAAAUACAACAAUGUGUGAUUUAAUGGUAUGCCAAUAAAAAUAAAUAUACAUGGGACUUACUUGCUA
Molecule: long non-coding RNA, 3246 nt
Organism: Lolium perenne
Lineage: Eukaryota; Viridiplantae; Streptophyta; Magnoliopsida; Poales; Poaceae
Source: RefSeq, a predicted model, not a curated record